This 293-nucleotide ribosomal RNA is filed under the name uncultured bacterium. RNAcentral's name for it is "partial 16S ribosomal RNA". It matches the Rfam family "Bacterial small subunit ribosomal RNA", at positions 505 to 796 of the family's 1533-position model. The record is from RNAcentral.
GUUACAGCAGCCGCGGUAAGACGAACCGUGCGAACGUUGUUCGGAAUCACUGGGCUUAAAGGGCGCGUAGGCGGGUUUCCAAGUCUGUGGUGAAAGCCUCCAGCUUAACUGGAGAAGUGCCGUGGAUACUGGAAGUCUUGAGGAGGGUAGGGGCAUCUGGAACUGCCGGUGGAGCGGUGAAAUGCGUUGAUAUCGGCAGGAACUCCGGUGGCGAAAGCGAGGUGCUGGACCCUUUCUGACGCUGAGUGCGCGAAAGCAAGGGGAGCAAACGGGAUUAGAUACCCGCGUAGUCC